Molecule: ribosomal RNA, 634 nt
Filed under: uncultured bacterium
Lineage: Bacteria
Description: bacterial SSU rRNA
Rfam family: Bacterial small subunit ribosomal RNA
Source: RNAcentral
UGGCGGCGUGCCUAACACAUGCAAGUCGAGCGGCAGCGCGGGGCAACCUGGCGGCGAGCGGCGGACGGGUGAGUAACGCUUGGGAAUCUGCCUAUUAGUGGGGGACAACCCGGGGAAACUCGGGCUAAUACCGCAUACGCACUACGGUGGAAAGCCGGGGACCGCAAGGCCUGGCGCUAAUAGAUGAGCCCAAGUCGGAUUAGCUAGUUGGUAGGGUAAUGGCCUACCAAGGCGACAAUCCGUAGCUGGUCUGAGAGGACGACCAGCCACACCGGAACUGAGACACGGUCCGGACUCCUACGGGAGGCAGCAGUGGGGAAUAUUGGACAAUGGGGGCAACCCUGAUCCAGCGACGCCGCGUGGGUGAAGAAGGCCUGCGGGUUGUAAAGCCCUUUCGGUGGGGAAGAAAAGUUUCGACCUAACACGUCGGGACCCUGACGUAACCCACUAAAGAAGCACCGGCUAACUCUGUGCCAGCAGCCGCGGUAAUACAGAGGGUGCGAGCGUUAAUCGGAAUUACUGGGCGUAAAGCGCGCGUAGGCGGCUUUGCAAGCCGGAUGUGAAAUCCCCGGGCUUAACCUGGGAACUGCAUUCGGGACUGCAUUGCUAGAGUAUGGGAGAGGGAAGUGGAAUU